CAGCCGCCGCGGUAAUACGAAGGGGGCUAGCGUUGCUCGGAAUGACUGGGCGUAAAGGGCGCGUAGGCGGCGGCCAAAGUCAGGCGUGAAAUUCCCGGGCUCAACCUGGGGGCUGCGUUUGAUACUUGGUUGCUUGAGUGGGGAAGAGGGUCGUGGAAUUCCCAGCGUAGAGGUGAAAUUCGUAGAUAUUGGGAAGAACACCGGUGGCGAAGGCGGCGACCUGGUCCUUUACUGACGCUGAGGCGCGAAAGCGUGGGGAGCAAACAGGAUUAGAUACCCCAGUAGUCCCUGUCUCUUAUAC
Molecule: ribosomal RNA, 301 nt
Filed under: uncultured bacterium
Lineage: Bacteria
Description: partial 16S ribosomal RNA
Rfam family: Bacterial small subunit ribosomal RNA
Source: RNAcentral